RNAcentral lists this unclassified non-coding RNA (257 nucleotides) under uncultured fungus. RNAcentral describes it as "sequence contains ITS1, 5.8S rRNA gene". The stretch from base 209 to 257 matches the Rfam family "5.8S ribosomal RNA", at positions 1 to 49 of the family's 154-position model. The record is from RNAcentral. Lineage: Eukaryota; Fungi.
UUUCCGUAGGUGAACCUGCGGAAGGAUCAUUACCGAGUAAGGGUCUUCUGGCCCGAUCUCCAACCCUUUGUGAAAUUGACCUUUGUUGCUUUGGUAGGCCCGUCCUUCGGGACCGCUGGAGGGGUUCAUCCUCUCGGGCCCGUGCCUGCCAGUAGCCCCUUCAAAUUCUCUGAAUACUGAAGUCUGAAUUAUAAAUUAAAUGAAACAAAACUUUCAACAACGGAUCUCUUGGUUCUGGCAUCGAUGAAGAACGCAGC